Molecule: unclassified non-coding RNA, 191 nt
Filed under: uncultured Sordariomycetes
Lineage: Eukaryota; Fungi; Ascomycota; Sordariomycetes
Description: sequence contains ITS1
Source: RNAcentral
CCGAGUUCACGAACUCCCAAACCCCGUGCGAACCUACCUAUCCGUUGCUUCGGCGGUGCCGCCCCGGGCGCGGGCCUCUUGUCAGGCCGCCAGCCCCGGACCCAGGCGCCCGCCGGGGGACCCCAAACCCUGUAUUUCCUAGCGGAUUAUUCUGAGUGGUGCCGUCGGGCGCCGAAAAGCACAAUGAAUCA